UGGGCUGCACUUACACAUAAAAGGUAAAGAACAUAAACUUGACGAAUGGCACACAUGCUUGGCUAUCUCCGCCCCUGCCUUUUAGGCAUAUUGGUAGUAUAAAUAAUACUUGUGUGACUGCUGAUCUUUAGACAUUGUGGGGCGGCACUCUGUCUCAAGAAGCUUCUGUAAUAAACGGAAUAUACGGUAUUGGAAUUGACCUGACUCCUGGUGUGUUAUUCUCCUUUCCAUCAAACCAACUCGGGGAACUGUUAGACUUCAACAAUUUUGGGGGCUCGUCCGGGAUGGAAUAAAGGAGAAAUAAUUUGACCCGGUCCAGACAACUUACACGAGAUUCACAGGUUCCUGAGCCGGCUCAAGAUAAAGGUGUCUCUUGUGGCAGGCUCUGAUGUCCAAGUCCCUAUAAGAAAGCUUAAAUGUCUGCGGACUGCAAAUCCAUCAGUCUACAUCGGGGACCUUGCCGUGCUUGUCUAUGGCAGGGAAACACUGUCCCAUUCAAGUUUGACAGGGAGACAAUCAGGGGCACACAAAGACGUGGAAUCAAAGCCACAACUUGAUAAUACAAAACUAGACGCUACAAUUGGCCAUGCUCUGUCAAAGUUCCCUGACAUCAGCAUUCAAGAUGUGAGACAUAUCAUAAGAAAAACAUGCAACAAUGAAAGCUACAAAAACAAACCACUGAAAAGAAGAUAUGAAAAUAAUUUUUGUUUCCAUUUAGUUGAUCAUUUUUGGGUUGGAUUUGUGGUUCCUCUGCAUCAUGAUGGCCAUUUAACAGGGAAGAAAUUGUACAGAAGUACAACAGUUGUAGCCAGCCAGUGACUGAUUUCAGAGAGGCUCUUGCAUGACAUAUUCUAAUAUUAACCUACCCUAAAGACUGUUUAUGCUGUGUGUUUAUUGUGUUUUGAACUGGGAUGUCGAUUUCAGUUUUCAUUGUUAUGUUUUGGCGUACAAUACAAUAUUUGUUAGAAAAUUCUGAUUUAUGUGAAUUUUUAUGUGUAUUGUCCACUGGUAGUGGUACAAGUGAAUUAACUUCAAGUCCACUUCAAGUACAGUUAAAGGUAUAUUUCAAG
This is a long non-coding RNA of Esox lucius (northern pike), 1070 nucleotides long. The record is from Ensembl. NCBI's taxonomy places the organism in Eukaryota, Metazoa, Chordata, Actinopteri, Esociformes, Esocidae.